CUAUCGACAUCUUCUGCAGUCAAAGUAGUUCUCCUUGAGUGGCGCAUGCAUUUAAUAGCCUCCUGCAUGAUCUCGCGAACUCGGUACUCGACAUCGGGAGCUAGAGCGAGAGCAACCUCAGGGGACAAAUUGGUGAUUCCAAUGCUCUGUGCAAUCACCUCGAUUGCUUCCUUGGGCACUAUACUCGUUACUUCGAUUGCUUCCUUGGGCACUAUACUCAUUUUGAAUUCCGGUUCAUGCACGAUUAGCCCAGAGGGAACAGAGAACUGAUCAAACGCAAGAAAGAGACAGCUCGGNCCUCAGAAAAUGACAUUGGUCUUGCACACGUUCAUUAAUAUUGGUAGAUUAGAUAUGCAGAAGCAAAGAAAUUUAAAAAUUGGAGCAAACUCAGAAAUUAGAGAGUAAAAAAUC
This 411-nucleotide unclassified non-coding RNA is filed under the name Hevea brasiliensis (rubber tree). Lineage: Eukaryota; Viridiplantae; Streptophyta; Magnoliopsida; Malpighiales; Euphorbiaceae. The record is from RNAcentral.